RNAcentral lists this ribosomal RNA (249 nucleotides) under uncultured bacterium. Its description in RNAcentral is "partial 16S ribosomal RNA". It matches the Rfam family "Bacterial small subunit ribosomal RNA", at positions 57 to 305 of the family's 1533-position model. The record is from RNAcentral.
GCAAGUCGAGGGGCAGCAUUUACUUUGGUAAGAUGGCGACCGGCGCACGGGUGCGUAACGCGUAUGAAACCUACCUUUUACUGGGAGAUAGCCCGGAGAAAUUCGGAUUAAUAUCCCAUGGUAUUGUAAAGCUGCAUGGUUUAACAAUUAAAGAUUUAUCGGUAAAAGAUGGUCAUGCGUGACAUUAGGUAGUUGGUAAGGUAACGGCUUACCAAGCCUGCGAUGUCUAGGGGUCCUGAGAGGGUGAUC